This is a long non-coding RNA of Cryptomeria japonica (Japanese cedar), 1060 nucleotides long. RefSeq lists it as uncharacterized. The record is from RefSeq and is a predicted model, not a curated record. The transcript has 3 exons. NCBI's taxonomy places the organism in Eukaryota, Viridiplantae, Streptophyta, Pinopsida, Cupressales, Cupressaceae.
AAACCAGUGGACAUAUGAAUUGGAAUGGCUUCAAUGGGUACCCACAUUUGUCAAACUUGGGAAUGGAAGCAUCGGGAAAAUGGAAAAUGCAUAUGAUGCCAUGCCAUUCAGAAGUUUCAGGGGCACAUGGUGGUGUGGACAUAAAUUUAAUGAGAAACAUGCAAGCUAAUAAACAGGGAACAACAGAGCAUCAGCCUGGUUUUCCUUCACGGGAAGCUUCUAAGGAUAAGAGAGUUGAUGUCGUUUCAGGCCCUGCAGACAAUAAUCGCAAAUUAUCUGGUCGUCAUAUGAUUGACUUUUUCUCAAGCAGUGAGCCAAAUCCAUCAAAAAAUAUAGUUUCUGUCAACGAGGAAGACCUACAAGUUUCUGCUCAUACCCCAAAAGAAUUUCUUUCACAAUUCUCCGAGGUUGACCAACAAUUGGAGCCAACAAGGUUGAUCAAGUCUGAUACAUCUGCUAUGAGCUGUGAGCAAGAAACAUCAUCUUGGAGACCACUACAAGAAAUACAAUGCAGAGCUCAGAAAAGGAGCUGUACUAUGUAGUAAUCAUUUACAUUUCUGUACGACAGAGAUUAGAAUUUUGUAAAUUUAAUAUAUUGUUGGAAAGAUUCUGACAGUUCAGAACCAUAUUUUUCAUCACAAUGAAGGUACAUAAGUAGGGUAGUGAUCCUGGGCGACUUCUGGAUCUUACAAAAUUUGUAGGAUACAAAGAGCUCUUCCAUGACCUUGAGGUGAUGUUCAAUUUUGAAGGACAACUGGAGGAUCCAAACAAAGGCUGGCAAGUUGUCUACACAGAUGAUGAGGGAGAUAUGAUGCUUGUAGGAGAUGAUCCGUGGCAGUGAGAAAAGGAGGCAUUUGCUGACAGCUGGGUGGAGAGUCUUUGUUAACUCCGAAAGGCUUGUAGCAGGAGAUGCAUUCAUCUUUAUGAGGGAUAAAAAUGGCGAACUACAUGUAGGGGUCGGCGUGCCAUGCAUCAGCAAAGUAACAUUCCUGUCCGUAGUUAUAUCCAGUCGCAGAAUGGAGAUUUUUGUCCUUGCUGCUGCGUCACAUGCCAUUCCAGG